GGCAGGCUCUCCUCAGGCACUGGGCAUCCAGAAUGUCUCCCUCCAACACUGUCACCUUGGCUUUUGUCUGCAGCUCUGAGGAACACAAAGCAGGUCACUGGGAAGCUUUCUGCACAGUUGUUUUAGAUGCACCCUUCUGUGGAAACCUACAAGGAACAUCUUGAAUCAUUCAGUCAAUCCAAGCCUUUGGUAACCUACAAAACAACAGAGCCGUGGCACCCAUAAACUCUCUGCAACUGUGGUCAUCUGCACAAGACUGGGUCCCUCAACAUCUCAUCCAGGAUGGAGGACUGUCCCACGAGGUCCCACCCUUCUCCAAGGGACUACUGACAAUUAAAAGUUGUUGGAGGACUUACAUAUCAUUUUCUUCAAUGGUGUAGUCAUUUGUCAAGUUGUCCCUGCUCCAGUUAAUAACCUCCCAUUACACUUGGGUGAGAAACUCUAAAGUCAGGGGGCCACACACAGAAGAAGACACCAAAGUGAAGGGGGACUUGCUGAGAAGGGAACUGGUGCACACGAGAGACAUGGAGUGUAUAAAAUUACUGACACUGAUUAUAUAAAACUACGAA
Molecule: non-coding RNA, 569 nt
Organism: Peromyscus maniculatus bairdii (prairie deer mouse)
Lineage: Eukaryota; Metazoa; Chordata; Mammalia; Rodentia; Cricetidae
Source: RefSeq, a predicted model, not a curated record